AUUGAACGCUGGCGGAAUGCUUUACACAUGCAAGUCGAACGGCAGCACGGGGGCAGCCCUGGUGGCGAGUGGCGAACGGGUGAGUAAUACAUCGGAACGUGCCCGGUCGUGGGGGAUAACGUAGCGAAAGUUACGCUAAUACCGCAUACGAUCUGAGGAUGAAAGCGGGGGACCUUCGGGCCUCGCGCGAUCGGAGCGGCCGAUGUCAGAUUAGGUAGUUGGUGGGGUAAAGGCCUACCAAGCCGACGAUCUUUAGCUGGUCUGAGAGGACGACCAGCCACACUGGGACUGAGACACGGCCCAGACUCCUACGGGAGGCAGCAGUGGGGAAUUUUGGACAAUGGGCGCAAGCCUGAUCCAGCCAUUCCGCGUGCAGGACGAAGGCCUUCGGGUUGUAAACUGCUUUUGUACGGAACGAAAAGGCUCUGGCUAAUACCUGGGGCUCAUGACGGUACCGUAAGAAUAAGCACCGGCUAACUACGUG
This 484-nucleotide ribosomal RNA is filed under the name uncultured bacterium. Its description in RNAcentral is "partial 16S ribosomal RNA". It matches the Rfam family "Bacterial small subunit ribosomal RNA", at positions 30 to 507 of the family's 1533-position model. The record is from RNAcentral.